UGAGUGGUGUUUGGUUUGUUACGGUGGUUGGCUCUCAGCUUAUGCUACAACUUCCACCGUGCUUACCUUUUCAGUUGUCUGUCUAGGCCUGUAGUGCCUAGGCGGAAAGUGGGUUUCCUGUGUUGCCUACCUAAGUGACGGUAUUGUGCUGAUCGAUGAGCGUCCCUUUUCGUCGUUUGUUAUGUUGAUGACGUUAGACGAACCAUAAAGCUGUCUCUUUGAACCACGCCAUCGUUUGUCGAUGUUGUGGAACAUUGAGCAUCGCUUGGUCUCUUGGAUACGGAACAUGAUGUGGGCAUGAGGUCUCUUGAGAUCCAUGUUCUGCCCUCAGUGAGCGUUGUCGCUUCUCUUGAAAACGACUUCCCGACACGCAUUGGCUCGUACCAGCGUGUCGGGUCAAGUCAUAGAGGAAUGCUACCUGGUUGAUCCUGCCAGUAGUCA
This 441-nucleotide unclassified non-coding RNA is filed under the name Palafoxia arida. RNAcentral's name for it is "partial contains external transcribed spacer and 18S ribosomal RNA". Lineage: Eukaryota; Viridiplantae; Streptophyta; Magnoliopsida; Asterales; Asteraceae. The record is from RNAcentral.